GAGACAGCAGCAGCCGCGGUAAAACGGAGGGGACUAGCGUUGUUCGGAAUUACUGGGCGUAAAGCGCACGUAGGCGGCUUGGUAAGUUAGAGGUGAGAGCCCGGAGCUCAACUCCGGAAUUGCCUUUAAGACUGCCGAGCUAGUAGGUGAGAGAGGUAAGUGGAAUUCCGAGUGUAGAGGUGAAAUUCGUAGAUAUUCGGAAGAACACCAGUGGCGAAGGCGGCUCACUGGACCGACACUGACGCUGAGGCGCGAAAGCGUGGGGAGCAAACAGGAUUAGAGACCCCUGUAGUCCCUGUCUCUUAUAC
This 308-nucleotide ribosomal RNA is filed under the name uncultured bacterium. RNAcentral describes it as "partial 16S ribosomal RNA". It matches the Rfam family "Bacterial small subunit ribosomal RNA", at positions 505 to 807 of the family's 1533-position model. The record is from RNAcentral.